CCUACGGGAGGCUGCAGUGAGGAAUAUUGGUCAAUGGACGCAAGUCUGAACCAGCCAUGCCGCGUGCAGGAAGACGGCUCUAUGAGUUGUAAACUGCUUUUGUACGAGGGUAAAUCCCGAUACGUGUAUCGGGUUGAAAGUAUCGUACGAAUAAGGAUCGGCUAACUCCGUGCCAGCAGCCGCGGUAAUACGGAGGAUUCAAGCGUUAUCCGGAUUUAUUGGGUUUAAGGGGUGCGUAGGCGGUUCGAUAAGUUAGAGGUGAAAUCCCGGGGCUCAAAUCCGGCACUGCCUCUGAUACUGUCGGGCUAGAGUUUAGUUGCGGUAGGCGGAAUGUAUGGUGUAGCGGUGAAAUGCUUAGAUAUCACGCAGAACCCCGAUUGCGAAGGCAGCCUGCCAAGCCAUGACUGACGCUGAUGCACGAAAGCGUGGGGAUCAAACAGGAUUAGAUACCCGAGUAGUC
This 460-nucleotide ribosomal RNA is filed under the name uncultured bacterium. RNAcentral describes it as "partial 16S ribosomal RNA". It matches the Rfam family "Bacterial small subunit ribosomal RNA", at positions 338 to 795 of the family's 1533-position model. The record is from RNAcentral.